This 28-nucleotide non-coding RNA is filed under the name Homo sapiens (human). The record is from RNAcentral. Lineage: Eukaryota; Metazoa; Chordata; Mammalia; Primates; Hominidae.
UGCCUAGGAAAGCCUUAGUGUUGGGAGG